Molecule: small nuclear RNA, 107 nt
Organism: Suncus etruscus (white-toothed pygmy shrew)
Lineage: Eukaryota; Metazoa; Chordata; Mammalia; Eulipotyphla; Soricidae
Source: RefSeq, a predicted model, not a curated record
GUGCUUGCUGUGGCAGCACAUAUACUAAAAUUGGAACGAUACAGAGAAGAUUAGCAUGGCUCCUGAGCAAGGAUGACACACAAAGCAGUGAAUGGAUUGAAAAAUAG